UCCUAGCCCUGAUGGAAGCGGCAUCCUUUUUAUGGCUUCUUUAGCCAUGAAAAGAUACAGCAAACAGCAGGAAAUGGC
This 78-nucleotide small RNA is filed under the name Flavobacterium xueshanense. RNAcentral describes it as "Flavo-1 RNA". It matches the Rfam family "Flavo-1 RNA". The record is from RNAcentral. Lineage: Bacteria; Pseudomonadati; Bacteroidota; Flavobacteriia; Flavobacteriales; Flavobacteriaceae.